UACGUAGGGGGCUAGUGUUGUCCGGAUUUAUUGGGCGUAAAGAGCGUGUAGGCGGCCAUGUAGGUCCGGUGUGAAAACUCGAGGCUUAACCUCGAGAUGUCAUCGGAAACCAUUUGGCUAGAGUCCGGAAGAGGAGAGUGGAAUUCCUGGUGUAGCGGUGAAAUGCGCAGAUAUCAGGAAGAACACCAAUGGCGAAAGCAGCUCUCUGGGACGGUACUGACGCUGAGACGCGAAAGCGUGGGGAGCGAACAGG
This 253-nucleotide ribosomal RNA is filed under the name uncultured bacterium. RNAcentral's name for it is "partial 16S ribosomal RNA". It matches the Rfam family "Bacterial small subunit ribosomal RNA", at positions 524 to 776 of the family's 1533-position model. The record is from RNAcentral.